Molecule: long non-coding RNA, 956 nt
Organism: Malus domestica (apple)
Lineage: Eukaryota; Viridiplantae; Streptophyta; Magnoliopsida; Rosales; Rosaceae
Source: RefSeq, a predicted model, not a curated record
AUUUUUCCACGCUGCCCACGCGUCGAUCAUCGUCGGCUGCUUCGUUUCCACUACAUCUCGAAUUUUCCUUCCCUUUCCACUUCUCUCUCUCACAAAGCUGGGCGUUUCAUUUGCUUCCGGUAGUCCUCCAUUUGCUACACGAACUCCAGUUCUCUCUCCCUAUUUUGCACGAACCAGAACAUAUGUUGUUUAUCCCGUUCCGAUUCGAAGAAAUUCCUCAAGGGGCUUAGAUUUCGUGGUACGUUCUCUGUCUCUCUCUAGAAUUUUGUUUGGAUUGGGUUGUUCAUGUUGUUCUCCUCACAACAAAACUAAAAUUCCUUGAAUUCGCUUCAUCCGAGUCCAAUUCUACUCUGGCAUACCCUGAAAAGCUUGGCUCCCGUUUUGAUUUGAAGAAAUUUUAAACUCAGAAAGCUUGGGUUUCGUGCUCUCUCACCAGAGAUCUCUGCCAUCGCUGUUUCACCAAACUGGAGCGUCCUCUCUUUCGAACCAGGGAAAAUCUAUUUGACGAUGGGAAUCAUCUGAAUCAGUUCUUGGAUGAUGAUCCAACAAUAUCUUAUUCAUGGUUUGGAUAGUUAUUAAACUAGUGUCACAUGGGUAUCAUGGAUUGCUUAAAAAAGUCCCAAAGACGUGGAGAGAUUUGUUACAUAGGUCCGACUUUGUGAACUAUGAAGCUAGAAAACAAUGGUGCAGAAAUUGCUGUUUGUUCUUGCUAAGGUUUGUAAUCCGAUGACUAAUAAGUAUGUUCCCAUAUUCGGCACUUCAAAUAUGUCUAUAGAAAUAAUGUUAUUUUUACAUAAGUUAGGUUUUCCAUUUUUCACUUCUAGCUAUGUUAUUUCUUUUUGAGCAAACGACUUUGAUCACCAUUCCAAGUUUGGAAAUUCUUGAGUUGUGCAAAUUGUACACUAGAGGGGAUCCCUUGAUAUAUAUUACUUAGUUCUUACUAAAAUUCGUGCAAA